This is a long non-coding RNA of Ipomoea nil (Japanese morning glory), 546 nucleotides long. RefSeq lists it as uncharacterized. The transcript has 2 exons. The record is from RefSeq and is a predicted model, not a curated record. Lineage: Eukaryota; Viridiplantae; Streptophyta; Magnoliopsida; Solanales; Convolvulaceae.
UGGAGCUGAUUAUAGGUGGGUUUUCAUUUAUUCACAUUUCCACUGGAGAUUCAGGAUUUUCUUGGGUUUAGUGCUGUCUGGGAAUUCAUUUUCAGGUUGGGACAAUCUAUGUAAAUGGAGAGAGAGAUUGGUGAGGUAAUUGUUAAAGGCUAUGGAGAAAGUAGGCAAGGAAGGUGUCAUCACUAUUAAGUAAGUGCUUGUAUUUGUUUUCUUAACACUAUUAACAUUGCUAAAAGGAACAAUGCAAAUGAAUUUCUUAAUGUUGUAGGUCCUUGCUUCUAUUCUAGGAUGGAAAGACAUUAUUAAAUGAGCUGGAAGUUGUGGAGCGGAUGAAGCUAGAUAGGGGAUACAUCUCUCCAUAUUUCAUUAUUACAAACCAGAAGAACAUACAUAAAUGUGUAAGUUUUCAUAAUCUGAUGGCUGGUAUACUAUUGCAAUUAUUAUUUACAUGCAAAGCGUAAUUCUUCAUACAUACUUGCUUACGACUCUAUUGUGAAAAUCUCAAGCAUAAAUGCUAUUGUGAAAAUCUUGGAGUUGGCUUUGAAG